RNAcentral lists this ribosomal RNA (496 nucleotides) under uncultured bacterium. RNAcentral's name for it is "partial 16S ribosomal RNA". It matches the Rfam family "Bacterial small subunit ribosomal RNA", at positions 28 to 506 of the family's 1533-position model. The record is from RNAcentral.
GAUGAACGCUGGCGGCGUGCCUAAUACAUGCAAGUCGAGCGAACAGACGAGGAGCUUGCUCCUCUGACGUUAGCGGCGGACGGGUGAGUAACACGUGGAUAACCUACCUAUAAGACUGGGAUAACUUCGGGAAACCGGAGCUAAUACCGGAUAAUAUAUUGAACCGCAUGGUUCAAUAGUGAAAGACGGUUUUGCUGUCACUUAUAGAUGGAUCCGCGCCGCAUUAGCUAGUUGGUAAGGUAACGGCUUACCAAGGCAACGAUGCGUAGCCGACCUGAGAGGGGGAUCGGCCACACCGGAACUGAGACACGGUCCAGACCCCUACGGGGGGCAGGAGUAGGGAAUCUUCCGCAAGGGGCGAAAGCCUGACGGAGCAACGCCGCGGGAGUGAUGAAGGUCUUCGGAUCGUAAAACUCUGUUAUUAGGGAAAAAAAAAUGUGUAAGUAACUAUGCACGUCUUGACGGUACCUAAUCAGAAAGCCACGGCUAACUACGG